Molecule: transfer RNA, 76 nt
Filed under: Crocinitomicaceae bacterium
Lineage: Bacteria; Pseudomonadati; Bacteroidota; Flavobacteriia; Flavobacteriales; Crocinitomicaceae
Also listed under: 1 other name
Description: tRNA-His
Rfam family: tRNA
About the family: Transfer RNA (tRNA) molecules are approximately 80 nucleotides in length. Their secondary structure includes four short double-helical elements and three loops (D, anti-codon, and T loops).
Source: RNAcentral
GGAGAAUGUAGCUCAGUUGGUUAGAGCGCUGGUUUGUGGUACCAGAGGUCGCGGGUUCGAGACCCGUCUUUCUCCC